Molecule: ribosomal RNA, 1030 nt
Filed under: Teichospora radicans
Lineage: Eukaryota; Fungi; Ascomycota; Dothideomycetes; Pleosporales; Teichosporaceae
Description: eukaryotic LSU rRNA
Rfam family: Eukaryotic large subunit ribosomal RNA
Source: RNAcentral
AUAAGCGGAGGAAAAGAAACCAACAGGGAUUGCCUCAGUAACGGCGAGUGAAGCGGCAACAGCUCAAAUUUGAAAUCUGGCCCCCUCGGGGCCCGAGUUGUAAUUUGCAGAGGGUGCUUUGGUGUUGGCUGUGGUCCAAGUUCCCUGGAACAGGACGUCGCAGAGGGUGAGAACCCCGUACGUGGCCGCCAGCCUUCGCCGUGUAAAGCCCCUUCGAAGAGUCGAGUUGUUUGGGAAUGCAGCUCUAAAUGGGAGGUAAAUUCCUUCUAAAGCUAAAUAUUGGCCAGAGACCGAUAGCGCACAAGUAGAGUGAUCGAAAGAUGAAAAGCACUUUGGAAAGAGAGUGAAACAGCACGUGAAAUUGUUGAAAGGGAAGCGCUUGGAGCCAGACGUGCCCGCAGUUGCUCAGCCGGGGUUCUCCCCGGUGCACUCUUCUGCGGGCAGGCCAGCAUCAGUCUGGGCGGUCGGACAAAGGCCUGCUAAACGUACCUCCCCCCGGGGAGGACUUAUAGGGUGGGUGGCAUACGACCAGCCCGGACUGAGGACCGCGCAUCUGCUAGGAUGCUGGCGUAAUGGCUGUAAGCGGCCCGUCUUGAAACACGGACCAAGGAGUCUAACAUCUAUGCGAGUGUUUGGGUGUCAAGCCCGAGCGCGCAAUGAAAGUGAACGCAGGUGGGAGCCCCUCGGGGUGCACCAUCGACCGAUCCUGAUGUCUUCGGAAGGAUUUGAGUAAGAGCAUAGCUGUUGGGACCCGAAAGAUGGUGAACUAUGCCUGAAUAGGGUGAAGCCAGAGGAAACUCUGGUGGAGGCUCGCAGCGGUUCUGACGUGCAAAUCGAUCGUCAAAUUUGGGCAUAGGGGCGAAAGACUAAUCGAACUAUCUAGUAGCUGGUUCCUGCCGAAGUUUCCCUCAGGAUAGCAGUAACGUUUUCAGUUUUAUGAGGUAAAGCGAAUGAUUAGAGGCAUGGGGGUUGAAACAACCUUCUCCUAUUCUCAAACUUUAAAUAUGUAAGAAGUCCUUGUUACUUGAUU